This 496-nucleotide ribosomal RNA is filed under the name uncultured bacterium. RNAcentral describes it as "partial 16S ribosomal RNA". It matches the Rfam family "Bacterial small subunit ribosomal RNA", at positions 30 to 523 of the family's 1533-position model. The record is from RNAcentral.
UUGAACGCUGGUGGCAGGCCUAACACAUGCCAGUCGAGCGCGAAAGUUCUUCGGAAUGAGUAAAGCGGCGGACGGGUGAGUAACGCGUGGGAAUCUGCCUAGUAGAGGGGGACAACAGCCGGAAACGGCUGCUAAUACCGCAUACGCCCUACGGGGGAAAGGGGGGGAUCUUCGGACCUCUCGCUAUUAGAUGAGCCCGCGUCGGGUUAGCUAGUUGGUAGGGUAAAGGCCUACCAAGGCUACGAUCCGUAACUGGUCUGAGAGGAUGAUCAGUCACACUGGAACUGAGACACGGUCCAGACUCCUACGGGAGGCAGCAGUGGGGAAUAUUGGACAAUGGGGGCAACCCUGAUCCAGCCAUGCCGCGUGUGUGAAGAAGGCCUUAGGGUUGUAAAGCACUUUCAGUGGGGAGAAAGGUUUGUCACCUAAUACGUGAUGAAAUUGAUGUUACCCACAGAAGAAGCACCGGCUAACUCCGUGCCAGCCGCCGCCGUAA